AGUUUGAUCCUGGCUCAGAAUGAACGCUGGCGGCAGGCCUAACACAUGCAAGUCGAACGGGCACUUCGGUGCUAGUGGCGGACGGGUGAGUAACGCGUGGGAACAUGCCCCUUUCUUCGGAAUAGCCUCGGGAAACUGGGAGUAAUACCGGAUAAGCCCUACGGGGGAAAGAUUUAUCGGGAAGGGAUUGGCCCGCGUUGGAUUAGGUAGUUGGUGGGGUAAUGGCCUACCAAGCCGACGAUCCAUAGCUGGUUUGAGAGGAUGAUCAGCCACACUGGGACUGAGACACGGCCCAGACUCCUACGGGAGGCAGCAGUGGGGAAUCUUAGACAAUGGGGGAAACCCUGAUCUAGCCAUGCCGCGUGAUCGAUGAAGGCCUUAGGGUUGUAAAGAUCUUUCAGAUGGGAAGAUAAUGACGGUACCAUCAGAAGAAGCCCCGGCUAACUCCGUGCCAGCAGCCGCGGUAAUACGGAGGGGGCUAGCGUUAUUCGGAAUUACUGGGCGUAAAGCGCACGUAGGCGGAUCGGAAAGUCAGAGGUGAAAUCCCAGGGCUCAACCUUGGAACUGCCUUUGAAACUCCUGGUCUUGAGGUCGUGAGAGGUGAGUGGAAUUCCGAGUGUAGAGGUGAAAUUCGUAGAUAUUCGGAGGAACACCAGUGGCGAAGGCGGCUCACUGGCACGAUACUGACGCUGAG
RNAcentral lists this ribosomal RNA (694 nucleotides) under uncultured bacterium. RNAcentral describes it as "bacterial SSU rRNA". It matches the Rfam family "Bacterial small subunit ribosomal RNA", at positions 10 to 750 of the family's 1533-position model. The record is from RNAcentral.